RNAcentral lists this unclassified non-coding RNA (241 nucleotides) under uncultured fungus. RNAcentral describes it as "sequence contains ITS2". Lineage: Eukaryota; Fungi. The record is from RNAcentral. RNAcentral also lists the same sequence under 1 other name.
AACGCAUAUUGCGCCCCUUGGUAUUCCUUGGGGCACACCUGUUCGAGCGUCAUUUCACCAAUCAAGCCUCGCUUGGUUUUGGGCGAUGCGCACGUCGCACGCCUCAAAUGCCCCGGCCGAGCAGUCUCUCACCCGGCGUCGUGGAAACAUACCGCUACGGAGACGAGACCUGCCCGUGCCGCAGAAUAACCUAUUAACAAAGGUUGACCUCGGAUCAGGUGGGGAUACCCGCUGAACUUAA